This is a long non-coding RNA of Salvelinus namaycush (lake trout), 488 nucleotides long. RefSeq lists it as uncharacterized. The transcript is spliced from 2 exons. The record is from RefSeq and is a predicted model, not a curated record. Lineage: Eukaryota; Metazoa; Chordata; Actinopteri; Salmoniformes; Salmonidae.
GAAACCAUAUCAUUCUUACCUUUGAUGUCCAUGUUUAAUGAAAUUCAAAACAGUUUAAAUUGUAAAAAAAAGAAUAACUAUUAGUCUUAGUGUUCAGCGACUCUAACAGCACCAACUAUCCUCCGGUGGUAUGUUGAGUGUUAUCACUGUCAGACUAAUGGAAACUUGUUGCGACUGCUCGUGUUCAAAUAACGGGUGACAUAAGUGCGUGUAGGAGUUGGCUUUCCAUAUCGACAGGUACAGAACUGACCAUUCCGAUGCUCCGAAUAUGAGGGGAGGGGAGAGAACAAUUACACAUGAAUAAUCAUCUGGGUAAAAGGGUUGGCACGGGAUUUCCCUUACCUUACAGACUUUGCCUGUUGAAGAACCGAGCUGGUGAGAUGUCAAUUAUUCAGGGAAGGAGAUAUUGAGUCAUCCAUCCAUGUGGAAUAAAAAAUAAGAGUUAAAUGGGCUUGGCCUUCACAAUGACUUCACUACAAACAGGAAUA